CCAAAAACCUCCUAAAUCUCAUUUUCGAUAACUUAUUAUCAUUUUCGACCAAAUGAUGUUGGUAAAAGAGUUCUCAUUGUCACAUCGGACAAGAACAUAUAUGCUGUAAAUUAACAAUUGUGAUUGCUUUCCAUUAGUCCUUUCUCCCAAAAGGACAAGGAAUGUGACUGUACUUAGUCACGGCUUCGGCAAUACUUUCUUCCUAAUGCUCCAACCAUUUCAGACCAGCAGAGUGUACUAAUUUUUGGUCAUUUGUAUCUUCCUGCUCUGCAUCUGCGCUUGGAGCUUGAGCUUUGUCUCAAACAAACCUUUCGCAUAUUUGAUCUUGAGGAAAUGGUCAUCAAAAUGGCUCAUCGUACUUGAAACGUGCUGGAAGUCUAUUUCUAUGCUAUAAACACCAAUGCUCAAGCACUACUUCAGUCUGCUGCUAAGAAACUACUUCAAAUUGGAGAGCUUUUCACACGUGGACUCGCACUGGUACUCUCACUUUAAUUUGAGUUUCUAAGAUUUUAUUUUAAAGCUCCCACUCUACCCUUUCUGAAGCAAGGAAUAGCCUAUGUGAUUGAAUAACUAUGGUGGUGAAUGGUGAUUAAGUAGCACCACAAAAUCAACAUCUGCUUGCUUGUGUGGUGUUGCUACUUAUUUUGUUACACUGUUUUUUUUUAUUUUGUCCUCUGAUUCAAUCGCUUAAUAGUGGUGGGAAUCUACUCUUGGGAGAACAAGCUGUGGAGGAAUCAAAGGAAGCGACUGUUGGAGGUGCAUUGAGUUCAACUUUAGUGGUUUGCCUCCUCUCUCCUAUGUUAUGGAUGGUGAUACGUCCUGGACAUUUAUUUCUAUUCA
This is a long non-coding RNA of Rhododendron vialii, 840 nucleotides long. RefSeq lists it as uncharacterized. The record is from RefSeq and is a predicted model, not a curated record. Lineage: Eukaryota; Viridiplantae; Streptophyta; Magnoliopsida; Ericales; Ericaceae. The transcript has 4 exons.